Molecule: long non-coding RNA, 1087 nt
Organism: Esox lucius (northern pike)
Lineage: Eukaryota; Metazoa; Chordata; Actinopteri; Esociformes; Esocidae
Exons: 5
Source: RefSeq, a predicted model, not a curated record
AGCGAUGUGUUUUUGACUAGUCAGACUGUUCAGGAUGAACACAUAAGUGGGUUAUAGACGUUGCGGAUCAUGCAGGCGUUUGCCGAGAUUAACAUUCACCGGACAAGCUGAAUAUGUGAACAAGUUACCGAUCCAGACAAGCAAAACAAGACAACGAAGCAAAUUAAGCAGGUGUUCAUAUUCUCUCUUUGACUGAACGGCAUUGUGGUCCCCGUCCAUCGUCAUGACCACCAGCACCUCACUUUUACCCAUCUCCUCAAGAGCCGCUGCCAGGGAGACGAGGUCAGCGUCGCCUUGGUGAGAUGCUUCCCACAGGUCCAACAGAACACCUGUGGGGCUUGGCUUUGUGGCAAAGUAGUUCAGAUACCUGAAGGAUGAAGAGACAGUGGAAAGGAUGAGGAGACAUAGAGAAACCACGAGAAGAAGACUGGGCUUUGGGCCUGGCAGAAACCACUAGAAAAAGACUGGGCCUGGCAGAAACCACUAGAAGAAGUCUACAUUUUGGAGGAACGUCUUAACAGCAGCUAGGGCCUCCUGUUCCUUGUAUUGUAAAGGAGAGCAGGACUCCUUAUUGGAAGAGCUGAGUUAGUAAAACCUCCUAUAGUAACAUGACCCAGCUGUCAAGUGGGAGUUUUCACCAAGUUGUCUGGGUAACUGACAUUCCUUGAUUACCUACAGUAUGUCUCUUGGAUCUGUGUCUUUAUGAAUCCUUACAUUCCCUGUCUCCUGGAUCAGUGUCCGUAUGAAUCCUUACAUUCCUUGUCUCCUGGAUCUGUGUCUGUAUGAAUCCUUACAUUCCCUGUCUCCUGGAUCUGUGUCUGUAUGAAUCCUUACAUUCCCUGUCUCCUGGAUCUGUGUCUAUAUGAAUCCUUACAUUCCCUGUCUCCUGGAUCUGUGUCUGUAUGAAUCCUUACAUUCCUUGUCUCCUGUAUCUUUGUCUGUAUGGAUCCUUACAUUCCCUGUCUCCUGGAUCUGUGUCUGUAUGAAUCCUUACAUUCCCCGUCUCCUGGAUCUGUGUCUAUAUGAAUCCUUACAUUCCUUAGAUGAUACUUGUUCCCAUAAAUAUUAUUAAACCUGAAAUAAUGAA